Dromaius novaehollandiae (emu) is the source of this 1382-nucleotide long non-coding RNA. RefSeq lists it as uncharacterized. The transcript has 2 exons. NCBI's taxonomy places the organism in Eukaryota, Metazoa, Chordata, Aves, Casuariiformes, Dromaiidae. The record is from RefSeq and is a predicted model, not a curated record.
UCCACAACUGUGGCAAUCUAGUCUUAAACAGAAAAUUGGUUUGCUUUGGAUGAAGAACUUGCAACAUGGAAAACCUAGGAUGCAAUUAAGUAUAACACCUACAAUGUAUGUUAGAGAUGCUAAUUUAUGCUAGGAGAGAAAUCUUUUGCCCAAGUUUAAGGAGAGCCAAUAAGAAGGGAUGUGUAAGUACUUUCCUCAACUGUGUUCUUAAGUAAAAUCACAAGAUUUCAGCCAUGUUUACACUGGCAGCUAGAUUCCUUUUCACAAUUGUCAUCAGCUGUUUUUCUAAUUGAAUUAGUGCUUACCUUGGUUUACAGCUGCAGGUGUAGACAAAGAGAAGACUGAAAACCAUCAUUUAAACAAGUCUCUUUUUCUUUCCUUAGCUCAACUUGUGACUGUCUUCCUGUCUCCUUUAUGCAGACAGGAGUAUUCACUUGAAUUUGCAUGAAGAUUCCCAAAUACUGCAAAAAUAGUCUGGUCCCAGACUGAAAAAGGAAGCAAUAAUUCUCAAUGGUUAGAGAACUAAAGAGCAUGCUGAUGACCCUGAUAUCUGUAUACACAAGCCUAUGACUCAUGAAACCAUCAAGGAUGCUUACUUAAGACUCACUAAAUAUUUUCUGUUAAAUUUGGCAGGGACACUUCAAGAUGUCAGAGCAUUUAAUGACAUGUAGAAAUUGUCAGAUUAUCUGUUUGUGAAGAGAAUUAUGUUGAUCCUAACUAGGUGAAUCUUAAUUCUAAGUGUGCUUUGUGAUUGCGUAAAUAUCUGUAGUACUCCUUUGUCAGUCAUGGAUCAAAUAUUUUUCUAUGAGUAAAAGAAAACUGAUAAUUUACCAAAGUUGGAAACAGCUAAGUAUCUGCAGCAAUCAAGAACAGUAGUUAGAAUUUAGGUUAGAACCACAUUGGAACAACAAAGAGAAGUUCACAUUGGAAACCAUCUUGAUGGAAUCAUGUUCUCUUUUCUUUCAGAAUGGCCUCGACUUCACUUUUGUUUUUCUAAGCAUGUAGUAUCACAAUGCACCAAAAGACUUGCAUUAUUUUUAAGAUGGAAUAUUUAGGUGAUGCAGCUUGUAUCCUGAUAAUGUAAGUGAUUCCAGUGCAUAUAGGCUUACAUACAGUAUCCAUCUAUUUCAGUUCUCUUGGGCUUGUCCUUUUCUUUCCACUACAAGUUAACCUUUAGGUUUGCACUGGUAACAAUACAAAGAAUGAAGGCACAUGCACAGGUUGAAAAAUUAUUUGAAAUCCCUAUAUUAUCUAACAGCAUUGGGUUUUUUCUAUCAAAUUGCUUUUGAUUAUAAAAAUAAAGAUUUGUAUUGAUUUGCCUUUAAUAAAAAAAAGACUGAGCAGUGCUUGCUGUAAAAUCGGACAAUAAACUUUGAAAUUAC